This 332-nucleotide ribosomal RNA is filed under the name uncultured eukaryote. Its description in RNAcentral is "partial 18S ribosomal RNA". It matches the Rfam family "Eukaryotic small subunit ribosomal RNA", at positions 1470 to 1796 of the family's 1831-position model. The record is from RNAcentral.
CCCUUAGAUGUUCUGGGCUGCACACGUGCUACACUGGCAGGUUCAGCGAGCUUCAUGCCCUGAUCUGAAAGGAAUGGGAAAUCUUUUCAAAACCUGCCGUGCUUGGGAUAGAUGUUUGCAAUUAUUCAUCUUCAACGAGGAUUGCCUUGUAAGCGCACGUCAUCAGCGUGCAUUGAAUACGACCCUGUAUUCUGUACACACCACCCGUCGCUCCUACCGAUUGAAGUUUUCGGUGAGUUGACAGGAGGAUUUUUUUGAAACUGGUUCGCCAGUGGAUUUUAGAUCCAAAUGCCAACGAAUCGAUGGCUUUAGAGGAAGGAGAAGUCGUAACA